This 1855-nucleotide long non-coding RNA is filed under the name Marmota monax (woodchuck). Lineage: Eukaryota; Metazoa; Chordata; Mammalia; Rodentia; Sciuridae. The record is from RNAcentral.
CACGCGCUUUUAAGAAGCGGGCAGCCAGGGCAGCUGCAGAGAGGGGGAAGGGAGACUAGGGGAAGACAGGUCACAGGGACAGCGUCUGGUGGAAAGUUAACCCUGGACGAGCACGCCCUACCUGGAGUAACAGGUUUGGAAUGGGUUGUGGCAACCAAGGAGAACGGUGGGCGACCAAGUUGGGGUUGGGAGGGCCCCUACCGGGGAAAAAUUUGAAGUCUUCCCUUUAAAAGGGAGAGACUAAAGGACAACUGGGAGUUGACACUAUAGCGUGCCAGAUAGGAGACCCCACUAGAGAGAAAGCGGCUAUAGUAGUUGUUGCUGCAGACGACCCAACCACCGCCUGCAAGAAGAGAAAAAACGCCCCCGCUGGAGAAUUGAGGCAUCUGUCGGCUGCUCCAGAGCACAGGGACCGAGGCCUCCCACGGGUGUAACUGGAGGCCGCACGUGGGGGCUCCGCUGACUUUAUUAGGUCGGUGGAGACACACCCGACCACUUGGAGGCGUGCGCUCCGGGGCUGCAGCUCUAGGUCUCGGUGUAGGCACCAGGCGGGUGACCCGAGAGGAUGCGACUCCCGGUGCGUGAGACUGAGAAACUCCCCCGCUGUGGGGAAGGAUUUUUCCAGCAGAUGUUGGAACGGUACUGUGCGUCUAUGAGGCAGGCGGAAUGGGGCGUUGGAGGGUCCUGGGGCUUGCAGGGUUGUGUGGCACCAGCACAGGCUGGACAGUGAGAUGUGUCGAAUGCAGCAGAUUCUCGCAGUCCAGAGAAGGAGACCCACAAGAUAACUGAAGACAGCUACUGGACAGGGGCGGGAACCAGUUGGAUUAAAGCAUUGGGGAAGUGUGGUGAGGCUUUGAAGAAAGGUGAUCAUCCCAGGGGACUGUGCCCUCAGGGAAAACCAGGCCUAUUGAAUUAGGUAAUAGGCAACCCGCCUGUUUGGACCUGGGCGCCUCUGUGUCUGACCUGAGACUUGAAAGCGCCUAACUUUCUGGGGACCUUGAGUUUGCUCCUCCAUCAGGGUUCAAAUGAUUUCCACAGCUUUUUGGUAAAGAGGAGUGGUCUUCCUGCACCGGUUCAGCUUUGAUGGAGCAGACACUUUAGUUUCUCUGAUAGGCGAGGAGCGACAGAAUUCCACUGGCAGGACAGUGGUGGAACAGCCAGAGAAGAGAGAACAGUGGUGAAAGAAAAGUGAAGGGCACUGACAUGGAACCUGAUAUCUGGACCCAUGCUCAAAAGAAUUCCAACCUUUGAUCAAUGUCUAUGCCAGAGACUUCAAAUCUUUUGAAGAUAGGUACCACUAUUUUAUGCCAAACAAACAUUAGGUACUCAAUAAGUGUUGAAUUAAGAUUACAUGUGGAUGGCUGCAAUGCAGAGGGAGGGGGGAAAAUACUUUCCUCUGCAGCUCUGAUAUAUGGACAUUUUGUUCUUUCUUUCAUAGAAAGACUCAGACGGUACACUGCCAGUGGACAAGGAGGCUCAGGUGUGCCCUGUGAAAGAGAACUCCACAUAGUACCAAUGGAUAUAAGGGCAAUUACAAAGAAAUUAUCCACUUUGUAUUAUACUAACCAGACCAGACUGCAGAUUUUCUUUAUUUUGCAUUUAGUUUGUGAAUACUUACUUGUAAACUGAUUAGAUUAUAAGAACCUGAACUCCCUACCUUGGUGGGUAGAUAAGUUCAUUCUAAUUUAAAAAGCUAAAAGUCACAUAUUCUAACAUCUCAAUUGAUAUUUAAGGAAACCCAUUUAGGACAAAAUCACUGAUAGUUCAUCCAGCAUGGAAUCCUUUCACUGACUAGGAACAAUGCCUUAUUGCUUCUCUCCUCCAUUUUUUUUUUUUGGGGGGGGGGGCGGUGGGC